CAAAUGAUGGAGCUGGAAUUUGAACCCAGCCAGGUGACCUUUACACAGGAGGCAGACUCACUAAGUAGGAGGAAAGCAAAAGCAAGAUGUAAGGCUGUCUCUCACCUUCCCAAGACCCAGACAGAGGGAAGGAGGAUCCCACAUCCAGAGGUGAAUUCCUGCCCCAGUAAUUAUCAGGAGGAGGACCAGGCAUACCCAGCUGGAUCCAGAUGAAGCCCAGCAGCCUCACAGAUGAAGUUUCACCUGGGUCAAUGGGAUAAAUAAAAUAAAUGGGUGGAAUCCCAUUUUAGAGCCGUAAGAGCAGGGAUCCCGCCUGGAGAUUCCAGAUGUCUGGAAGCCUAUCCACUCACCCCAGCUUGGUCACAGUAUAGCCUUGUGCCUUGGGGCAGACAUCUCCUUGAGGACCUCCUUUCCUUCAUUUGCAAAAGUAAGCACUGAGUUAGAUGCUCCCAUAUGUCCCCACUGUUUUAUGGUUCUACUUCUCUGUAACUCAAAUUUCCUCAUAUGUAAGAUCGCAUGAUAAUCUUCAUAGACUGUGAAGAUGAAAUGAUUUAAAUAGGCAAAGUAUCUAGAACAGUGUUGGGGACAAAGUAAGCAUUCAGAAUCUUUUAGUUAUCAUCCUAAUCAUCCCAAAUUAUCAUUAUCAUUACAGGACAAGAGUUGCCAAACAGAUGCUGGUCAAAAAGUGCUAGACAUGUCCUUCCUUUGAAAUAUAGUCUGAGAAAGGGAUCAAAAUCACCAAAUGAGGCUGACUUCCCCCCCCCCCGACACACCCUGAGUUUUAAUUGCAUAAUCCUAAGUAAAGAAAGUCUGUAGGGGCUGGCAGUGUAGUCCAGUGAUAAGAGUGCCUGUUUAGAAAGCAUAAGGCUCUGGGUUUAAUCCCAGCACCCGAAGGAAGGAAGAAAGGAAGGGAGGGAGGGAGGGAAGGAGGAAGGGAAUGCUAAGAGUAGUAUACG
RNAcentral lists this long non-coding RNA (956 nucleotides) under Heterocephalus glaber (naked mole-rat). RNAcentral's name for it is "lncRNA (ENSHGLG00100034886.1)". The record is from RNAcentral. Lineage: Eukaryota; Metazoa; Chordata; Mammalia; Rodentia; Bathyergidae.